UAUAACUCAUUGGUAGAGUGCUUUCCUAGCAUGCAUGAGGCCUGGGUUCAAUCCCCAGUA
This 60-nucleotide transfer RNA is filed under the name Ictidomys tridecemlineatus (thirteen-lined ground squirrel). Its description in RNAcentral is "Spermophilus tridecemlineatus (thirteen-lined ground squirrel) tRNA". It matches the Rfam family "tRNA", at positions 6 to 65 of the family's 71-position model. Rfam says of the family: Transfer RNA (tRNA) molecules are approximately 80 nucleotides in length. The record is from Rfam by way of RNAcentral. Lineage: Eukaryota; Metazoa; Chordata; Mammalia; Rodentia; Sciuridae.